ACAUAGCAGAGAGGAGGCUCAGAGGCAGGUUUAGGUAAGGGUCACGCUCAUGAGUCACCCCUGUGUGGGACUGUGGAUAAAUCACUGCAUCUCCCUGGAUGUCUCUGUGUUCCAAGGUUUGGUUUAUAAAGUAUCCGGGAUCAAAUCUGACCUUGCUGUGAAAAUGUGGAUGUGCUGGACUCCCUACUGAUAAACUCCACCUACUCUUUUAAUUUACUGCCCACAUCUUCCCUUCUGUGACUCCAAGAUCACCUCGAGAUGGAACAUCUCAUGGAAUGGCUCUGGAGGUGGAGAAACUCUCAGACAAGAGCCAUUGAUCACAGCAAGAAAUCAAUACUGCGCUCUCAUCAAAGCCAACACCUCCAUCCCCAUCCCAUCAGUGGGGCUGGAAGGGAACCAGCACUGCAGAAACUGUUCCUAUGAAACAAGUGCACUUCUGUGCCUGCCUGCUGGGAGUCCAUCCUCUAAAAGUCAGCAAAACUUAAAACAAAACCCCACAAUAAAUCCAAACCAUUUCAGACUCUUCAGAAUCUCA
Cyanistes caeruleus (blue tit) is the source of this 535-nucleotide non-coding RNA. Lineage: Eukaryota; Metazoa; Chordata; Aves; Passeriformes; Paridae. The record is from RefSeq and is a predicted model, not a curated record.